This 440-nucleotide ribosomal RNA is filed under the name uncultured bacterium. Its description in RNAcentral is "partial 16S ribosomal RNA". It matches the Rfam family "Bacterial small subunit ribosomal RNA", at positions 338 to 795 of the family's 1533-position model. The record is from RNAcentral.
CCUACGGGUGGCAGCAGUGGGGAAUAUUGCACAAUGGGGGAAACCCUGAUGCAGCGACGCCGCGUGAAGGAAGAAGUAUUUCGGUAUGUAAACUUCUAUCAGCAGGGAAGAAAAUGACGGUACCUGACUAAGAAGCCCCGGCUAACUACGUGCCAGCAGCCGCGGUAAUACGUAGGGGGCAAGCGUUAUCCGGAUUUACUGGGUGUAAAGGGAGCGUAGGCGGUUCAGCAAGUCAGAAGUGAAAGCCCGGGGCUCAACUCCGGGACUGCUUUUGAAACUGUUGAACUAGAUUGCAGGAGAGGUAAGUGGAAUUCCUAGUGUAGCGGUGAAAUGCAUAGAUAUCACGCAGAACUCCGAUUGCGAAGGCAGCGUACCGGCGCCCAACUGACGCUGAGGCACGAAAGCGUGGGGAUCGAACAGGAUUAGAUACCCGUGUAGUC